Molecule: ribosomal RNA, 322 nt
Filed under: uncultured eukaryote
Lineage: Eukaryota
Description: partial 18S ribosomal RNA
Rfam family: Eukaryotic small subunit ribosomal RNA
Source: RNAcentral
CCCUUAGAUGUUCUGGGCCGCACGCGCGCUACACUGAUGCAUUCAACGAGCCUAUCCUUGACCGACAGGUCCGGGUAAUCUUUGAAUCUGCAUCGUGACGGGGAUAGAUUAUUGCAAUUAUUGGUCUUCAACGAGGAAUUCCUAGUAGACGUAGUUCAUCAGACUGCAUCGAUUACGUCCCUGCCCUUUGUACACACCGCCCGUCGCUCCUACCGAUUGAAUGCUCAGGUGAGCCAUUCGGACCUUCAUCAUGCCGGUUUCCGGUUUUGAUGAGGGAAAGUCUUGCGAACCUUAUCAUUUAGAGGAAGGAGAAGUCGUAACA